RNAcentral lists this ribosomal RNA (465 nucleotides) under Vreelandella stevensii. Its description in RNAcentral is "partial 16S ribosomal RNA". It matches the Rfam family "Bacterial small subunit ribosomal RNA", at positions 338 to 795 of the family's 1533-position model. Lineage: Bacteria; Pseudomonadati; Pseudomonadota; Gammaproteobacteria; Oceanospirillales; Halomonadaceae. The record is from RNAcentral.
CCUACGGGAGGCUGCAGUGGGGAAUAUUGGACAAUGGGGGGAACCCUGAUCCAGCCAUGCCGCGUGUGUGAAGAAGGCCCUCGGGUUGUAAAGCACUUUCAGUGAGGAAGAACGCCUGGUGGUUAAUACCCAUCAGGAAAGACAUCACUCACAGAAGAAGCACCGGCUAACUCCGUGCCAGCAGCCGCGGUAAUACGGAGGGUGCGAGCGUUAAUCGGAAUUACUGGGCGUAAAGCGCGCGUAGGUGGCUUGAUAAGCCGGUUGUGAAAGCCCCGGGCUCAACCUGGGAACGGCAUCCGGAACUGUCAAGCUAGAGUGCAGGAGAGGAAGGUAGAAUUCCCGGUGUAGCGGUGAAAUGCGUAGAGAGCGGGAGGAAUACCAGUGGCGACGGCGGCCUUCUGGACUGACACUGACACUGAGGUGCGAAAGCGUGGGUAGCAAACAGGAUUAGCUACCCUAGUAGUC